GGAUGAUGGUACUCGACCUCGUGAUCGAGUAUGUGGUCGAGUGGUGGCGUUGAAGUGGUGAUCGAGUCAUUUGGUGAAGAGCAUGGUCGAGCGCUUGAGAAGCGGUGGAGCUGAUCUACUCGAUCACCGUGGUCGAGUGGUUCCUUGUUUUGUCCCUGAUCAUGCUCGACUGAGUAGGUCGAGUGUGCUGUCUGAUUUGGCUCUGCUUCUCUCAAUCUGCUCACAAGUGGCUCCGAAGCACCUGAAAACAACUCAAAUAUGCAGUAUGCAUGCAAAACUAUCCUAAACAUGUAAAGUGAUGACAAAUGAUGAAGAAUGGUAUGAAACAAUGAUGAAACGAUGCUAAAGUGAUGCUAAAUGGUUGCUUAAAACAGGUAAAAUAUAGACAUAUCAU
This 394-nucleotide long non-coding RNA is filed under the name Arabidopsis lyrata. Its description in RNAcentral is "long non-coding RNA (ALYR_LNC000012)". Lineage: Eukaryota; Viridiplantae; Streptophyta; Magnoliopsida; Brassicales; Brassicaceae. The record is from RNAcentral.